RNAcentral lists this long non-coding RNA (1444 nucleotides) under Sorghum bicolor (sorghum). RNAcentral describes it as "long non-coding RNA (SBIC_LNC007510)". The record is from RNAcentral. Lineage: Eukaryota; Viridiplantae; Streptophyta; Magnoliopsida; Poales; Poaceae.
GUCGAGGGGGCGGUGGGUGUACGACAACGUGUCCCGGCCAUUGUACAACGGGCUCAAGUGCGCCUUCAUCUUCCCCGAGGUGGCCUGUGACAAGUAUGGCAGGAAGGAUGUCAUGUAUCAGCACUGGAGAUGGCAGCCUCAUGGAUGCGACCUCCCAAGGUAUGGUGAUUAUUACAGAUUUCCCAAGUAUUUUUAGAUCAAGCCCAAAAAGUUCAGCAUAUCUGAAGGUGCAGUUUUUGAAUGAUAAGAUCUGUCAGUACAAGUCAAGAAUUUUCCAAGGGUAGUAAAUGUUUUUGUUUUAUAGAAGCGUAAAAACACUGAGAUAAUCUGUAACUGGAUAAAAACACAGGAUACUACAGCAGAAAGGAAGAAAUAGUACUGACAUUGCAAAACUGAUCUCAUUAGAGUUGUUAGCUUGAGGGACUGGAGGCCAACAAGAAACUAAUUAAACAUGCACGGUACCUAAUUGACAGUGAAAGAUCCUACCUUUUAUUUACCAUUUGUACCAUUUCAAAAGCUUGUAUGUAAGAGUAGGAGAUUCAAAUUUAGCAUAACUUUGCAUGGUAGUUUUGACAUGCUGUCUGAAUUUUACUUUUUCAAAACAGAUUUGAUGCCAUCAAGCUGCUUGAAAAGCUGAGGAACAAGAGAUUGGUGUUUGUGGGUGACUCAGUCAACAGGAACCAAUGGGUGUCUCUCGUGUGCAUGGUGGAGGCCUCAAUACCUGAUGACAGGCUCAAGAUACGCAUCUUCAAUGGCUCACUCAUCUCCUUCAAGGCAUUGGUAUGCUUCCCUUCACAAAUCUACAGCCUACAAAAACAAACAUUUUUUGUUAGCCGGUUUGAACAUAUAAUCAUUUUUUUUCAGGAAUACAAUGCAACAAUAGAUUUCUACUGGUCGCCACUACUGGUGGAGUCUAAUAGCGACAACCCCAUUAUCCACCGGGUGGAGUACCGAAUUAUAAGGGCAGACAGAAUUGAGAAGCAUGCCAGUGUCUGGAGGGAUGCUGACAUCAUAGUCUUCAAUUCUUACCUGUGGUGGAGGAAGCAGAAGGAUGACAUGAGGAUGAAGGUCAUGUAAGUGCAUCUCUAUCCUUCCUAAUCAUAGCUCAUAGGUAUUGCACUGUCAGUUUCACAUACCAGAAAAAAAAGAUACCAGAUCUGGUAAUUUAAAAUGCACUAAUAACAUAGUAGUUACCAACUGCAAUCAGUGAAUAGGUUAUUAACACUUGCAUGUGCAGGUAUGGCUCAUUUGAAGAUGGUGAUGCAAAAUUAGAUGAAAUGGAAAUGGUCGAUGGUUUCGAGAUAGCUCUCAAGAAACUAACCGAAUGGCUUGGAGAGAAUAUUGACAGGAACAAGACUAGGAUCUUUUUUGCAGGAUCGUCACCAACACAUUCCUGGUGAGAGAGAUACCCAUGAAUCAUUUGCAACACCAAUACUACAAUACC